GCUGUAGUCACCAUCACCAAGAGCUUACAAUUCAAUUAGGCAUCUGGGUGAUUCCUAUGUUGAAGUCACCCUGUGUCCAUUGUGGGUGCAGGGUGUGUGUGUGUUAUGCGGUUGUUUGGGGUUAAAUGUUAGUGUGUUCUCCUGUCUUGCUAAUGCUUGCAAUCAACUCGGUGGAUUUGGCUGUGGAGCUUGUACAGCGCCACCUCUUGGUUGCAAGGAUCUAGCAACAGCUAUAUGCAAU
Non-coding RNA from Pelobates cultripes (western spadefoot toad), 241 nucleotides. The record is from the annotation of a GenBank genome assembly. NCBI's taxonomy places the organism in Eukaryota, Metazoa, Chordata, Amphibia, Anura, Pelobatidae.